GGAAAGGGGUCUUUCCCGCGAGCGUUGCGGAAUUAAAGAGGUCCCACUUCGUGGGCAUGCCCAGAAUACAGGCCCUCGCGGGGGCGGGCCAGCGUUUCGCCGUGAGGCGUGGCUCCUGCUGCGGGUCGGGCGCUGGCUCCAGCCGGCAAGGGGACUCUUUGCCUGCACACGCGGCGGAAGGAGCCAGGGCGGCGGUGCUGCGACACUUCCAGCAGCUUCCAGACCGGCCAGGGCGGCCCUGCCCCGCCCCUUCCCUCGAGGCCCCGCCCCGCCCUCUGCGGCCUGGGCUGUGCCUCUGCGGCGGCUCCGCCCCGCAACCGCACUGCUGGGAGCCUGGGGGCCAAGUGGGCUAUACCCUCAUUUCCUCCAGGAAACUGCAGAGGUGGCGCAUUACCCUACCCGCCAGGCCCAGCUAGCCCGGCACUGCGUCCGGGCUGCCUAGAUCUGGGAAGUCGGGUCUCCCAGGACUCCUGCAGGAUGGCAGGAGUUCUUGGAGGCAGCAUGAGGACGCUGAUCAGAGUGUGGCCCGCUCCAGGUGCCAGAACCAAGUCGUUCCCCUUCGGCUGUGGCGCCGGAGCCUCAAGGCCAUGGGCCUGCCCAGGGAGUGCCAGAGGGACGCCCUCCUCUGAUGUCUCUGCCCCGUUUGCGUGCCCUCCAGCUGGUGAGCUGGCCUUACUUUUCCAAGGCCUUAUAUCUGAAGCCUCCUUUACGCAGAUUCCCCUCCAGAAGAGAAUGGCCCCUCCCUACGCUGUGACCUUGUGGAUGUCCAGCAACUCCCUUCGUGGCCUGCUUUGUCGGUGCCUGGCAUCCUGGGGAGAGGUUCCCCCACCACCCACCCGCGGACCUCCCUUAGCAGCCCUGGCGCCCAGUCUCAUUCUUUCACAUUUUCUUUGUUCAUAUGUUGAGUUCCAGGGAACAAAGGACCCUUCCUUCCCUUCUCCUUGGCCCACACUCCAGACCUCAACAGCUCCGCCCCCAUUACCUCAAUUUCAUCUCUCCAUAGACUUCUACUUCUCUUCAUUACGGUCUGGGAGAAGCCUGUGGCUGGGAGAAGUCAAAGUCCAGUAGUGCGGAUGCUGUUUCCCAGACUUAAGCCGGAAGCAGAACAAAGAUCACUCCUGUGGACCAGUGUCGGGACCAAAAUUCCUCAGGGGGUUCCUAAUGGGAAAAUCUCAAGUCUCAUCACCAGCACAGAAAUUCUGAUUUCUCUUUUGGAAGCCUCCCAGGAUGACCUCUCCAGCUCACCGAAACUCACUAAGCCCCACUUGUAAGCCUUGCCUUACCACGCGGAGAUGUGGAAACAAGACAAGAAGCCGUCAGCCCACUGGGGGGAGCUGCAGCAGACCAGUUGUGAAUCAGAGCAGCUAAAAGCAGGGGAGAAACCUGAGUUCCCAGCUCAGCCUGGGGAAGGUGGCUGGCACAGGUCUACCCCCAGCACAGGGAAAGCAUGGGGAAGGCACAGCCCUGACAGAAGGACCAGGAACCCUCAAGGGAGGCAAAGUAAAAGUGAAAGAAAGUGAAGUUGCUCAGUCGUGUCCCAUUCUUUGCUACUCAUAGCCCACCAGGCUCCUCUGUCCAUGGGAUUCUCCAGGCAAGAAUACUGGAGUGGGUUGCCAUUUCCUUCUCCAGGGGAUCUUCCCAACCCAGGGAUUGAACCUGGGUCUCCCGCAUUGCAGGCAGACGCUCUACCAUCUGAGCCCAGGACUACCAGGGAAGCCCAGAGAGGCAGGGGUCACUGAAAGUGGCCCAGCAGGCAGGAAUCAGGUCACAUAGGGUCACAAUGCCAUGCUGAGUAGUUCUGACCUUAACUUAGGGUCAGGGAAGCCACUGAAGGCUGUUAAAGAUGACUUGACCGCCCCCAACCCCCGAUCCCCAGAAGUCUGUUCUCAGCAGCAUUUGCAAUCCUUGAUGUUCCCAAGAUACCCUUUAUUUCCAACCAGGCCUCAAAGACCCAGCCUCACCUUCUGCUACCUGGAGGGCCGCCAAAUGAAGCAAGGAUUGACAAACUGUGGCCCUCAGCCAGUGGUCUUAUCACUUGCUUCUGUAUGGCCUGUGAAUAAGAAUGGUUUUUAUGUUGUUUAAUGGUUGAAAAAAUCAAAGGAAAGAUAGUAUUUUGGCAUGUGAAAAGUAUGUGAGGACUUUCUUGGUGGUCCAGUGGCUAAAACUCUGCACUCCCAAAGCAGGGGUCCUGGGUUCCACUGAUGGUCAGGGAACUAGAUCUCACAUGCCACAGCUAAAA
Bubalus bubalis (water buffalo) is the source of this 2239-nucleotide long non-coding RNA. RefSeq lists it as uncharacterized. NCBI's taxonomy places the organism in Eukaryota, Metazoa, Chordata, Mammalia, Artiodactyla, Bovidae. The record is from RefSeq and is a predicted model, not a curated record. The transcript is spliced from 3 exons.